UACGAAGGGGGCGAGCGUUGUUCGGAUUUACUGGGCGUAAAGCGUGCGCAGGCGGUUAUGUAAGACAGUUGUGAAAUCCCCGGGCUCAACCUGGGAACUGCAUCUGUGACUGCAUAGCUAGAGUACGGUAGAGGGGGAUGGAAUUCCGCGUGUAGCAGUGAAAUGCGUAGAUAUGCGGAGGAACACCGAUGGCGAAGGCAAUCCCCUGGACCUGUACUGACGCUCAUGCACGAAAGCGUGGGGAGCAAACAGG
RNAcentral lists this ribosomal RNA (253 nucleotides) under uncultured bacterium. RNAcentral's name for it is "partial 16S ribosomal RNA". It matches the Rfam family "Bacterial small subunit ribosomal RNA", at positions 524 to 776 of the family's 1533-position model. The record is from RNAcentral.